RNAcentral lists this unclassified non-coding RNA (405 nucleotides) under soil metagenome. RNAcentral describes it as "partial contains 5.8S ribosomal RNA, internal transcribed spacer 2, and large subunit ribosomal RNA". The stretch from base 1 to 121 matches the Rfam family "5.8S ribosomal RNA", at positions 35 to 154 of the family's 154-position model. The record is from RNAcentral.
GAUGAAGAACGUAGCGAAAUGCGAUAAGUAAUGUGAAUUGCAGAAUUCAGUGAAUCAUCGAAUCUUUGAACGCACCUUGCGCCCUUUGGCUAUUCCAGAGGGCAUGCCUGUUUGAGUAUCAUGAACACCUCAACUCUCAUGGUUCUGCCAUGAUGAGCUUGGACUUUGGAGGUCUUGCUGGCCCCUGUGGUCAGCUCCUCUCAAAUGGAUCAGCUUGCCAGUGUUUGGUGGCAUCACAGGUGUGAUAACUAUCUACGCUUGUGGUUUUCCACCAGGUAACCUUCAGUGAUGGAGGUUCGCUGGAGCUCAUAAACGUCUCUCCUCAGCGAGGACAGCUUCUUGAACGUUUGAUCUCAAAUCAGGUAGGGCUACCCGCUGAACUUAAGCAUACCAAUAAGCGGAGGA